This is a small nucleolar RNA of Ictidomys tridecemlineatus (thirteen-lined ground squirrel), 135 nucleotides long. Its record names the gene SNORA70. It matches the Rfam family "Small nucleolar RNA SNORA70". Rfam says of the family: snoRNA U70 seems to be exclusive to mammals and is a member of the H/ACA class of snoRNA which contain H (ANANNA) and ACA box motifs. H/ACA box snoRNAs are involved in the conversion of uridines to pseudouridines (5-ribosyluracil) a constituent of structural RNAs (transfer, ribosomal, small nuclear, and small nucleolar). The record is from Ensembl. Lineage: Eukaryota; Metazoa; Chordata; Mammalia; Rodentia; Sciuridae.
CUGCAGCCCAUUAAGUCAAUGGGGCUCCUUUCCUUGUGGGGGCCCAGUGUUUGCAAUGGCUGCAAACAGCAGCCUCCUUGGUCAUAUAUGCAGCUGCUGCUUGGAUGGCUGGCCUAAGGGACCUUGGAGGCAAAA